CGGCCUGUUGGGGUGAAGUGGGGUGGGGUCGGGGCGCGGCACAGCUUCCCAAGGAAGUCACAGGACCUCGCCUCGGGAUAUUCAGAAGUGCUAGUCCAGUUCUGGCAGCCUGAACUCUUCCUCCUCCAAGGGGUGCUGUACUCGGCGUGUGGGUUUUGAAGCAGUGGGCGUUCGACUUCAGAGUUGUUUUCCUUGAGGCGCUGAUACCGGCCUUGGCGGAGGAGAAUGACGGUAUUCAUGUGUUUCUGGGUGGUUGCCUGAACAAGGGAGUUCAGCCUUUGGGAGAUAAAGCAGGAUAUGAAGCCUGACCAGGUGGGAGGUCCUGAUGCCCUUCCCAGGACUGGGCACUGCGGUGGCCCCAGCACAGGGCAGGGCCCACCUGAAGCAGUGUGACCUGCUGAAGUUGUCCCGGCAGCAGAAGCAGCUCUGCGGGAGGGAGCCCAGCCUGGCUGAGACCCUGUGGGACGCCAUGCACCUCGGCCUGGAGUGCCAGUUCCAGUUCCGGCAUGAGCGCUGGAACUACAGCUUGGAGGCACGGUUCCAUAUGAGAAGAGUCCCGGGAUUAAUGAGGGGCAGUUGAAGACCAGGUGUGGCCCAGCCUCAGGUUUCGGGGAGCAGAGGAGCAAGGAAGAUCCAAGAGAAGAGGAGACACAAGUCCGGUCCUGGAGGAGCCCACAGAUGAGAGGGGGCAGAGAAUGAUAUUUGAGAACCAUCAUGCAUCACAGGAAGCCCCCGGCGCUUAUCUCAGCGGCCUCAGAAAUAGGCCGAUCCAAAUGGUCACACACUGACUUGGAGUCAAAAUGGCGGGUUUAGCCCCAGCUGUGGUGGCACCAGUUCCUGGAAUGAGUAAGAGAGUCUGGAAGAGCAAGGGGCUGAGAGCCUUCAGUGCCUGCAGAAAAGCCUGGGUUUGUAAGGGCAGCCAAGGCUGCAAAGGGACACAUGGUUUGAGCUCUUGAGCUCUUCAACACUGGGCUGUGACAAAUGGGGAUAAGGAAUAGCCUGUUUGCUGGUAUUUAGGGUACACUGGUCCCCAGAUAUCUCCUCCCACCUGUACUAUGGAAAUUUAUCAUGGGAAUUUCAUUUCUUUUUCUAGAGAUUCUUGGCUGCGUAGAAAUGCGGUCCUGGUCUCACUUGGCUACUGAGCCAUCCCAUAAACUUCAGUGAUAU
This 1167-nucleotide long non-coding RNA is filed under the name Homo sapiens (human). RNAcentral's name for it is "long non-coding RNA NONHSAT175241.1". Lineage: Eukaryota; Metazoa; Chordata; Mammalia; Primates; Hominidae. The record is from RNAcentral.